CCUUCACCAUUUCAAACCAUCUGAUCUUCUCCUAUCUUGAUCUGUGUUAUUGAUGGACUAAACUUGCUUUCCAUGUGUGUGUGGUGUUUUUUCUUAGAUAAUCAGGUAAGAAAUGACAACAUCUUCCCAAUUACAGCAAUCAUGAUAUUUUAGUGUUUUCUGUUUCAGAGAAAACUUAUGUUUAUUUGAGCAUUAGGUGAAUUCUGUUGUGAAUACCCAUAAUCAUGGAGUUCUGUGGUAUAGUAGUAAUUUUGCUGUUUUAUAGGUGAUGAGGAAAGAGGUGAAGGUGUGCCCAUCUUUGGCACACAUAGACAUUGAAGUACUGGGCACAGGAAGAGCUGAUGGGCCCUGCACUGAUUGCAAAGAACAAGGUCAUGUGCAGUGUUUUAGUAGAGGAGUGUCCAUAGACACACUUGUCACAAGAUGUUUUAAAUUACCAUCCAGAGGUCAUGUAAAUUUCACAAUGGUCUUUGAUGGGGCUUUGCUUAUAUUCAGGUAUUCAUUUCAGAAAUGAUACUGUCCCUACUAGUGCUAGUAAAUAAGUUGUAUCUUGCCACACACUUGUUGAGUGUGUUUUUCAAGAUUCUAGCGGUCCUGACAUCACAGUGACCCAGACCGUGGUUGUCAGUGGGAACUUGCUGGUAACCAGG
Long non-coding RNA from Suricata suricatta (meerkat), 650 nucleotides. RefSeq lists it as uncharacterized. NCBI's taxonomy places the organism in Eukaryota, Metazoa, Chordata, Mammalia, Carnivora, Herpestidae. The transcript has 3 exons. The record is from RefSeq and is a predicted model, not a curated record.